This is an RNA transcript of Mus musculus (house mouse), 4639 nucleotides long. It is a transcript of the gene named melanocortin 5 receptor, with no coding region annotated. The transcript is spliced from 3 exons. The record is from RefSeq and is marked validated. Lineage: Eukaryota; Metazoa; Chordata; Mammalia; Rodentia; Muridae.
CACCAUGCCUGGGGUGGGGGUGGAGGUGGGGCAGAUAACUGGCUUUUGUGAAGACUCCACUUUCAGCACUUUAUUGUGAAGCCCGCAUCUUUUGCAGAUCCCUCCCUGAUCUUGGAGAUGGGGACUCUGGAUAAUACUUAGAUUGUAGGGUGUUUUCUGCCAGCCGGUCUCUUUUGCAGUACAGAGGAUUAGUCUGAAGUUAAGAAACCCCGUCACAGAUUUCAGAUUGUCUCUCCCUGUGACAUGAUACCCGCCCCCCCCCCAAACCUGCAUUUUCUGUCUAUCCCUUUUCCUCCAGUCUCUCUGUUUCCUUGUCUCUGUCUGUCUCUGUCUCUCGGUGUGUGAGUGUGUCCAAAUCUCAGUAGAUCUUCUAGGCUCUGGCUUUUCCAAAGAAGUAUCAGGCACACCGGUGAGCCACUGUAGCGGAAAGACAAAGAACAGGGCAGAUCAAGUCAUUGAACUGGGCAGAAUUUUAAUCAGCGAGUUAGAAGAAAGUGGCGGGGCGGGGGGUGGGGGAAGAUAAAGAAUCAUCAACUGGAAAAAUCCAUCUGUGCGCACCGAAGGGAAAAGAUUUGUUAAAUUGGAAGCACCUCAGAGCUAAAGGCUGUGCGUUGCAACAACCUAGUGGUGGACCACUAGGUGGCACUGCACACACAACUCCUAGGCUCCCAAGCUGGUGACUGCAAAGUUGCUGGAGAACUCUGAAGUCCGAGAGGCGGCGAUAUGGGCGGGUGGAGGCUGUUUAAAAGCCGAGUGGUGAGGUGCUAGUUUAGGUCGGGAGGAGACUGCGCCCUGGCAAUGGCCCUACUCUCUCGCCGAGGUCCGCCUAGGUGGACAUCAGGUGCCCAGGCAGAGCGAAGCGUCCAGUGAGGGCUCCUGGCUCGGAUGCAAGACCAGAGCCCGGUAAACAGAAGAUUCAACUCCCAGAAACCGCCUGGAACCCGUGAAGAAUCAUGCUUACCUUUGCGCGGAGCAGAGCAGAAUGGUAAAUCCGAUGCCAAGAAGUGGGGGCAUUCUCUUCCAGCAAUGAACUCCUCCUCCACCCUGACUGUAUUGAAUCUUACCCUGAACGCCUCAGAGGAUGGCAUUUUAGGAUCAAAUGUCAAGAACAAGUCUUUGGCCUGUGAAGAAAUGGGCAUUGCCGUGGAGGUGUUCCUGACCCUGGGUCUCGUCAGCCUCUUAGAGAACAUCCUGGUCAUUGGGGCCAUAGUAAAGAACAAAAACCUGCACUCACCCAUGUACUUCUUUGUGGGCAGCUUAGCCGUGGCCGACAUGCUGGUGAGCAUGUCCAAUGCCUGGGAGACUGUCACCAUAUACUUGCUAAAUAAUAAACACCUGGUGAUAGCCGACACCUUUGUGCGACACAUCGACAACGUGUUCGACUCCAUGAUCUGCAUCUCUGUGGUGGCCUCGAUGUGCAGUUUGCUGGCCAUUGCGGUGGACAGGUACAUCACCAUCUUCUAUGCCUUGCGCUACCACCACAUCAUGACCGCGAGGCGCUCGGGGGUGAUCAUCGCCUGCAUCUGGACCUUCUGCAUAAGCUGCGGCAUUGUUUUCAUCAUCUACUAUGAGUCCAAGUAUGUGAUCAUUUGCCUCAUCUCCAUGUUCUUCACCAUGCUGUUCUUCAUGGUGUCUCUGUAUAUACACAUGUUCCUCCUGGCCCGGAACCAUGUCAAGCGGAUAGCAGCUUCCCCCAGAUACAACUCCGUGAGGCAAAGGACCAGCAUGAAGGGGGCUAUUACCCUCACCAUGCUACUGGGGAUUUUCAUUGUCUGCUGGUCUCCCUUCUUUCUUCACCUUAUCUUAAUGAUCUCCUGCCCUCAGAACGUCUACUGCUCUUGCUUUAUGUCUUACUUCAACAUGUACCUUAUACUCAUCAUGUGCAACUCCGUGAUCGAUCCUCUCAUCUACGCCCUCCGCAGCCAAGAGAUGCGGAGGACCUUUAAGGAGAUCGUCUGUUGUCACGGAUUCCGGCGACCUUGUAGGCUCCUUGGCGGGUAUUAAACGCCUUCCUCUCUCAGUGGCUCUCGUCUCUCAGUCAAUUAGGUUCAGCCAAGGCAUGAGCAAGGCUGCUAAGGCUCUCAGAUGUAUUGUUCCUCGCCCCCUUUGCAGCUCCGUUUGGUUAUUGUGUGUCCGAGGAGGUUUCACCAUGCUCUGCCUGACUUGGUAAGUGACCUGAGGAGAUGCAUAAUCUCCUGGGUGAGCUGUCAUUGUACAAACCACUGUGGAAGCUUAUAUCACCAUGAGUGGCUUUUGUGUUUGGUUUAGCUUUCUCCAUGCUGCUGUCCAUGUUUGCAGGAUGCACCUUUUACAUUCUUUUCAGGAAUGGAGAGACAUCCGGCUCCUUCUUAUUUGAGAAUUCCAUUAUUUUUUAUUUUUUUACUACAGUUCCCCUAUCCUAGACUUCUGGCCCUAUGGCUUGCAUUCAGAAUUGUCUGGGGGGGACCAACUUUAACUACUUAAACUCCUGUCCUUCAUAGUUUUGGACUUACUCAGACAUAGAACUUCUAUGCUAAACACCUUGCUUCGUGUUUUGUGAAAACCUCCAUGCCUCUCGCUGUCUUUUUUUUUUUUUUUUUUUUUUUUUGACUCAAUUCAGUGUUUCCAAGAAAUUUGGGGGCGGUCACAUGGCGACUCUAGGUACAAACUCGCCCUCACUCCAUUUAGCAUGUGCCACCCAGAGUCAAACUAGAAUGGCUUUCUCACACAUAAUCAUUUAUCAGUUCUUGGUGUCUGAAAAGUCCACAUUGGAUGCUUUGAAGCAUCUUAACCUGCCCCUAGCAACCUGCCCCUAGCAACCUGCCCCUAGCAACCAUCAAAGGCCCGGUCCACAGCAAAGACAAGCCAUUUUCUCCAGUCUGGAGUAGAGGAAAGGGACGAAAGCUCAAGCACCAACCCUGACACUGGCUGUGUGCCUUUCCCUCCUCCCCAGGCUCCACCUCUGUGCUGACCUCUCAGAAUGGCCAAAAAAAAAAAAAAAAAAAAAAAACUACCUGAAAAAAAAAAAAGGAGAACUUCUUGUAAAAUUUGAAAAACAUACAGGAUGGGUUUUGUUUGUUUGUUUGUUUGUUUUUGUUAUUUAAAAGAACUAUUUCACAUGGGUGGGAUCACACAUGAAGGAAGGGUACAGGUGUCAGUGGCCAGAGCAGUGUUUUGGAUGCCAAGAGACUUGCUGUGCUCAACAGAGCCACGUGGCCCUCUGGAUCCCAGCGAAGAUCAUAGGGUUAGAAUAAGACAUUGAUCUUGGUGGUCACACUGCUUGUCCAGACACCCAGCUAUCUAUCACGAGUCUUAAUUCUCUGCUCUGGGUGCUAAAAUGACUUGCUACAAAUCCUGACCUUUAUUUUAAGGUAUUUAAGAACACGCUUGACGGCAUUUUAAUCUCUAUGUAAACAAAAUCGCCCUUGUGUUCCAGUGCUGUUAUUUUUGGGAUCUUCAUCUGAAGCAAAGGGUACGAGUCCCUCCAGCUCACAGGUUCGGUUUCGCAGUAAUAUGCUGGAAUUAGUGUUUUCUCUGUGGUUGGAUACUUGACAUCUAGGCUGCUUCCAAAUGAAAGAGAAAUGUAAAUAAGGCAGCGGACAUACAGGUCAUCCCACAGUGAACUGUGGGUGUAAGAGGGGUCCUGUCUACAGAAGAUUGGAAGAGCAGAAGGACUUUCUAUAGUAUGGUGUCAUAAUUAGCUUAUGAGAAUGAUCUCUUUAGAAGCUCAGCAAAGAAAAACAAAAACAAAAACCAUAGUGCUGGUGUUAACAGUAAGGUGAAUGAGAUGUCCAAAUCUUUACAAAGUGGAAAACAAGCAGAUUGUUUGCAACUGAUUUGCAAAGAGCCUCUAACCUUUCAAAAUGUUUCCUGUUCAUAGCUGCUGAAUAUUCACACGCAGGAAGUAAAAGUUCUCAUUGUAGCCAUUAUAGGAAGCCGAGUUCACAUUGUAGCCAUUAUAGGAAUCCGAGUCCACUGUCACAGUGGAUGUGACUGGGAUAUGGGGUGUCUGAGGCUUCCUCUCCUCUGUACAGAGCAAGCGCUUGCGGUGUUUGUAAUUUCCAAGUUGAAUUUUCUGCCUAGAGUCCUUGAGUAAUCUUAAGCAAAGUGACUCUAGUCCUGAUCACAGGGGAAGAAUAAGACAUUGAUGUUGGUGGUCACACUGCUUGUCUGGACACCCAACUGUCACUAGUCUGAUUCUCUUCUCUGGGUGCUUAAAUGACUUACUACAAUUAAGGUAUUUAAGAACAGGCUCAACUGCAUUUUAAUCUCUAUGUAAACAAUAUAGCCCAACUGUUGUGUUCAACUGUUGUUGUGUUUGGGAAAAUAUAUGCCUGUAGUAACUUGUUACAUUUAUGAAAAUAAGCCAACCUCAAAAUGAAGUCCCCUUAACAAGAACAAAAAAGAAUACACAUGCUUGCCAAACAUGUGGCAUUGUAUGUUAGUUUUCUGUUGGAAAUGCAUUUGCAUGAAGGUCCCUUAGCAAAAGAAUAGACAUGCAUGUGAAACAUGUGACAUUGUAUGUUAACUUUAUGUCUCUGUGGGAAACGUAUUUGCUGUAAAAUAUGUGUCCAAAGAAAUUGUUAGUAAAGUAGAAGGAUGAUUCAAUUUGUACUAAUAAACAUGUAUAUAAUUAAUAAAAUGGAUGGACUAAACUAUA